This is a long non-coding RNA of Lytechinus pictus (painted urchin), 821 nucleotides long. RefSeq lists it as uncharacterized. The transcript is spliced from 2 exons. Lineage: Eukaryota; Metazoa; Echinodermata; Echinoidea; Temnopleuroida; Toxopneustidae. The record is from RefSeq and is a predicted model, not a curated record.
UGGCGUCGUCCUGUGACAGCAGGCGAUAGGGUCCUGUAUCUGUUCUCCAUCUCAGAAUAAGAGUAGAGAUAGUAUCAAAAUCAUUUGAUUUGAUUAGUAUUUUGUCGGAUCGGGUAUAUUGUGAAUUCUAACUUGAGCCUUGUUGUCUGUGGUGAAGGGUCCCGUGAAGGGUAAAUUAUUAUGGUGGACAAAAUGGACUGAAACCUUGGCAGUUUAGUGUGAUGAAGAUCUUCAAGCUGCUGCGUUCCUUGGAACCAUUGAUCUAUAUCGUUACCGAAUAAGGAGUAAUUGGAAUUUAUUUGGAAUAUUAUAUACCGGUUUUGAUGAAUAAGGGGAACAAGUUACCCCCUCUCAAUAUUGAGUUGGAGAGACAGAGAGCCCCUCAACCGGUGACGACAAACGCUCUCGGAAUAGAACAUCAUAUGCCCCCAUCGAGACUGAUGGCACUGGAAGAUCAAGAGUUGGACAACAUAGCACCAAAUACAGAUGAUCUCUAUGGAUCUGGAUCGACAAAACAGGCAUCAAAUACUCCUGCAACUGUGACCAAUAUUGAGGUAGAAGAAGAGUUGAAAAAUUUAGAUAACAACAAUCCACCUCCUCCGGCCCCAGCAGCGGCAGCCAGCAUGUCGAACGCAAAUGGACGGCCGUUGUCCCGGGCCCGGCCGGUGUCGAGGGUCAGCCUACACCACGGGCACAUCGAUGCGGCAGUGGAAUAUGAAAUGAAUAAAUACAAGGACGAUUUUUCAGAAGAUGCAAUGGAAAAGAGGGCCAAAGUAAUCAAAUCCGUCCCUGCUACCCUUGACAGAAGGCGAAGUAUAAGG